UCACCUGCAAAUGAUACAUUGUAUACUAAAAUACAGAAUGGAUUCUUUGUAAUUUGGAAGAUAGAAUGGUUUAUAGUGAUAGUAGGUAGUCCCGUAUUUAUAAAAGGAAUGGCUGGUAAUUUUUGUCAAUUGAAAAUCUGUCAUUCAAAAUGGUUGAGAAGCGUGUAAACUGUAAAGUGUAGUACUAGUAGGGCAGUGAAGAACAGGCAAGUGUGAUCAAUGGACAUGCAGGACUUGUGAUACAAAAUUGUCUAGAAAAAGCUAUGUAGAGGCAGUAAGAGUGGGAAAAUCUAUCGAUAUUUUAUGCUUUUUAUGCUGAGUAGCUGACACAUCCAGUGAUCCACGCACCACUAUUCCUACACCACAAUCAAGUUCUGAUAAUAUUAAAAGUUUGCCGGAUUUGCCAACACUAGAAAAGGCCACGACUGACCCAUCUUACAGACCCUUCCUCACCAUCAAAGCGUAGGAAAACUGUGCACAGACGUGUUGUCUCAAGGCAUUCAAGAGAUGUCACAGAGACCACAGAAAAAAGGGUGGCAUGGUUGAGAUCACAGAGAAUUGUUUAUGCUAUAGCUAUAAACUUUUGCCUCAAAAUUGCUUAUCUCUAAGACCGUGGCAUUUUAGGCUCCGAGUCCGACAUUUUAAGAUUACUGGUCAUCUCAUCUGAUUGAAUUUCGCGGGGAAAAUCAAACCAAACACUCGGUCAAACAAAAGAACUCCGAAUGCACGGGCCGCUUACACCAAGGUAAAGAAAUGCGUAGGACCGUCCUCGAUCUAGCGUUCUCCCAACGAGCGUCUACUUCCGGUAAAAUUUGUGGCUGUGUGACAUGCUUCGAAAAAGUGCCCAGUUUACUUCCGGUAUAUUGUUAUUAUCACGUAAUUUUGUUAGCUUGAUAAUGUUGAAAGCAAGCGAGUGAAUUGGAUUAAAUAUUUAUUCAUUUGUGCCUCACUCCAAACAAAUGUUGUGAUCUUCGCUCAUCAUUUAUUAUUGAUAUAAAAAAAAAUGUCAUAAAUAAUGCAACAGGGAGAGUUGUAAAAUGAUGAAGAACUGGAAGCGACGACGUCGACUGGCUGCCAGCACAGUACAAUUUACAAACUGCGCACUGUCUUUAUAAAUAGACCAAUAAUACAAAAGCCAUUGUAUUUAAUUUUAUGAAUAACUUUCAUUUGAUGUGAACAAGGAAUUUCUAACAUUGAAGAAGGACAAUAAAAUAUAAUUCCUAAAUAACCACCUGCACUGAGUGUUGAUUCAUCCCUAAAUCCUAACUUUAAAAUAGUUGUUGCACUGAAUGAAAAGCAGGCUGUUAUGCGAGUGCCUGAAAGACUUUGAAAUAUAUUUCUUGUGAAAAAUUGGAAUAGACUCAGCUAUCAACUGACUGUACAUUAUACACUUUCAGUUACACAUUCUAUUUUUUGGAAAUAAUUUUAAUAAAUAUAAUGAAUGAAAUCAUUGGAUUAUUGUGAAUAUUUUGAAAAUGUACUAGGGAUAGAGACUGUCUAUCUUGUCCACUCAAUGAAAUUAUGAAUUCUCCUCAAUGUGUUUAAAGUCAAUUUCUAUUCAAUUCAUAAGAUAAUGCAGCUCUUGUGUGUACUGGUACAGGUGUAUUCAGUAAACUGUAAAAUUUACCCACUCCCUCCUCUAUGAUUACAUAAAACCAUUUAUUGUAACAUUGACACACGGAUCACAAUUUACAAUAGGGUGAAUGAAAAUAUGCAUAAAUCUGGUAACUUUUCUCUCUGAUCAAAUGUGUGAAAUUGUCAUAAAUUUAUACAAAGU
Patella vulgata (common limpet) is the source of this 1777-nucleotide long non-coding RNA. RefSeq lists it as uncharacterized. The record is from RefSeq and is a predicted model, not a curated record. Lineage: Eukaryota; Metazoa; Mollusca; Gastropoda; Patellidae. The transcript has 4 exons.